UACGUAGGGGGCAAGCGUUGUCCGGAUUCAUUGGGCGUAAAGAGCGUGUAGGCGGCCUGAAAGGUCAGCUGUGAAAACUCGAGGCUCAACCUCGAGACGUCGGUUGAAACCAUCUGGCUAGAGUCCGGAAGAGGAGUGUGGAAUUCCCGGUGUAGCGGUGAAAUGCGCAGAUAUCGGGAAGAACACCCGUGGCGAAGGCGGCACUCUGGGACGGUACUGACGCUGAGACGCGAAAGCGUGGGGAGCGAACAGG
This 253-nucleotide ribosomal RNA is filed under the name uncultured bacterium. Its description in RNAcentral is "partial 16S ribosomal RNA". It matches the Rfam family "Bacterial small subunit ribosomal RNA", at positions 524 to 776 of the family's 1533-position model. The record is from RNAcentral.